RNAcentral lists this ribosomal RNA (736 nucleotides) under uncultured bacterium. RNAcentral describes it as "bacterial SSU rRNA". It matches the Rfam family "Bacterial small subunit ribosomal RNA", at positions 59 to 795 of the family's 1533-position model. The record is from RNAcentral.
CAGUCGAACGAAGCACUUAUCUUUGAUUCUUCGGAUGAAGAGGUUUGUGACUGUGUGGCGGACGGGUGAGUAACGCGUGGGUAACCUGCCUCAUACAGGGGGAUAACAGUUAGAAAUGACUGCUAAUACCGCAUAAGACCACAGAGCCGCAUGGCUCAGUGGGAAAAACUCCGGUGGUAUGAGAUGGACCCGCGUCUGAUUAGGUAGUUGGUGGGGUAACGGCCUACCAAGCCAACGAUCAGUAGCCGACCUGAGAGGGUGACCGGCCACAUUGGGACUGAGACACGGCCCAAACUCCUACGGGAGGCAGCAGUGGGGAAUAUUGCACAAUGGGGGAAACCCUGAUGCAGCGACGCCGCGUGAGCGAAGAAGUAUUUCGGUAUGUAAAGCUCUAUCAGCAGGGAAGAAAAUGACGGUACCUGACUAAGAAGCACCGGCUAAAUACGUGCCAGCAGCCGCGGUAAUACGUAUGGUGCAAGCGUUAUCCGGAUUUACUGGGUGUAAAGGGAGCGUAGACGGCUGUGUAAGUCUGAAGUGAAAGCCCGGGGCUCAACCCCGGGACUGCUUUGGAAACUAUGCAGCUAGAGUGUCGGAGAGGUAAGUGGAAUUCCCAGUGUAGCGGUGAAAUGCGUAGAUAUUGGGAGGAACACCAGUGGCGAAGGCGGCUUACUGGACGAUGACUGACGUUGAGGCUCGAAAGCGUGGGGAGCAAACAGGAUUAGAUACCCUGGUAGUC